AAGAGUCGGACACGACUGAGCGACUGAACUGAACUGAACUGACUGAAAAUUCAUCGGAUACAGAGAAAUUCUGAAUUGAAACAUUUUGAAAAGAAAUGUCAUCUUGCAACUUUCUGCAUUGUUACAAAUAAAACCAACGUAUCAUCAGUCUCAGGAGAAUCUUGUUAAGUGCUUUUAAAGAUAGAGAAAAGAAACGUGACCACAUUCACUGUUCAUGGCAGAAACAAAUACAAGAAUAACCUUCGCGGUCGCCCAGCCUUGGGUUGGAGUAUCAGUUACAAGGCGUCCUUGCUGGACAACCCUGGUGCCUCGCCCUCUCAGGGUUGCUCCGGCGCUGUGAGGAUCGGGGCUCCGCGCGCCGGGCCGCAGGGGACCCCCUUCUCCGGGGCCGCCGCGCCAGCCCCUCCGCCCCCGGAUGCGCCACCUCCCCACGUNNACAGCCCCACCUCCCCGCGUUGUCCAGGCCGGGGUCGGGACCCAGGCCCGGCGCCCCCGCCGAGUCACGGGACCCCUUCUUCGGGAACAAUGGGAUCGUAGAAAGCUGGAACUGGGCGUUGUUGGGAACUCGGAGGUCAUCAAGCCCCGCCUCCCACGCCCUGCAGGAAUUCCCUAGACGCUGGGCGAUCCUCAGGCUGUUCCCGGUACGGGGAGCUCACUCCCUCUCUCAAGGAAACCUGGUCGGCUUCAAGUUCCCGGCGCCUUCGCUGUGUGACAUUAAUCAGAGCUCUGGACCUCUCCGGUCCGAAGUAGCUUCAUCUGUACCCCGGGGGCGCGAUGAUAAUGCUUGCCUCCUGAGAUUGUUGAAGGAUAAGAAGACACCGGCAAAGCGUAAGAGCGCCAGAGUGAGGCAGCUGUAAGGAGCAGCACUACGGAUCCAUCUAGGUACAAAAUUCAGUUGUGGUUAAUUGAGUUAAUGGUUAAAUGAUGUAAGUCCUUUCCAUUUUUGGUCUCUGGAACUG
This 959-nucleotide long non-coding RNA is filed under the name Capra hircus (goat). RNAcentral's name for it is "lncRNA (ENSCHIG00010031866.1)". Lineage: Eukaryota; Metazoa; Chordata; Mammalia; Artiodactyla; Bovidae. The record is from RNAcentral.